GACGAACGCUGGCGGCGUGCUUAACACAUGCAAGUCGAACGGAAAGGCCCUGCUUUUGUGUGGUGCUCGAGUGGCGAACGGGUGAGUAACACGUGAGUAACCUGCCCUUGACUUUGGGAUAACUUCAGGAAACUGGGGCUAAUACCGGAUAGGAGCUCCUGCUGCAUGGGGGGGGUUGGAAAGUUUCGGCGGUUGGGGAUGGACUGGCGGCUUAUCAGCUUGUUGGUGGGGUAGUGGCUUACCAAGGCUUUGACGGGUAGCCGGCCUGAGAGGGUGACCGGCCACAUUGGGACUGAGAUACGGCCCAGACUCCUACGGGAGGCAGCAGUGGGGAAUAUUGCACAAUGGGCGGAAGCCUGAUGCAGCAACGCCGCGUGCGGGAUGACGGCCUUCGGGUUGUAAACCGCUUUCGCCUGUGACGAAGCGUGAGUGACGGUAAUGGGUAAAGAAGCACCGGCUAACUACGUG
Molecule: ribosomal RNA, 468 nt
Filed under: uncultured bacterium
Lineage: Bacteria
Description: partial 16S ribosomal RNA
Rfam family: Bacterial small subunit ribosomal RNA
Source: RNAcentral